Long non-coding RNA from Girardinichthys multiradiatus, 2276 nucleotides. RefSeq lists it as uncharacterized. The record is from RefSeq and is a predicted model, not a curated record. The transcript has 3 exons. Lineage: Eukaryota; Metazoa; Chordata; Actinopteri; Cyprinodontiformes; Goodeidae.
AGUGAUGCAAUUUUAAACACAGGAAGCAGAAUGUGAGUGUGACCUUGUGAGAAGCGCAAUCACUCAAACAAUCAUUGUACUCAAUUUAAAAGGAGCUUUGGUUUAAAUAAAAGUGAAGGCAAGCCUGUGGUCUACAAGAUAAGUCAUUGUUAGUUUGGUGUUUUAUAUGACAAACAAUGAAGGAAGGAGAUUUGUAGAAAUCUCUACUGCAAAGAACCAACAUAGAAGUUCACGAUGACCUUGGUUCCAAACUACAAAGGGGGCAAGAGAGUAGGAGCAACCCACAGUACGUUUUCCAGAAUUACAGUAAUACAUUUUCAAAGAGUAACAGAUUAAUGUCAAGCUUGGAAGUCUUUAAAGCUGCCCCCUUUUCCGAAGUUUGAGGAGGAGGACCCAUGGGCAAACUAAUUACCGGCUGAGAACAACAGAACCGAACAGGACAAUCAGUGGCUGUAAAGUGCAUGCUCACAUUGCUGUCAAAGGUACCCACCAACUUGAGUGCAGUGCAGAUACAGGGAGUCAGAAAAUAGCUGCCACCUGCAAUAGUUCCAAGGAGGAGGAACAUAUAAACAACUAACCAGCAUUUAUCAUCUGGGGCAUGGCGUCACGCCUAGUAGGGGGAAGAGGGAAGGGGGGGGAUCCGGGUGCGUGCUCUGUAUUUUUUUUGUCCAGAGAAUACAAUGCAUGUGCAGACCUAAUGUGAAUGUCAGAGGACUCUGACUUAUUUGGGGGUGACACAAUACGAACAAGUGGACAGAUCCAGACAGGGUCUUCUCUCUGUAAAGUGUAGAAAUUUAUUACAGGGGCACAAAGAAAAAUAGGCAACAUGUCAGGCACACCCUGAACAAAGACAAAGAAGGACAAUGACUGAGGAGCUUAAUAUGUUUUGCCAAAAAAUUGCACUUGUCUUUGUUCUUGUAUCAAAAAGGUGAGCAGUUAAUAAAAGGCUCACUGUAGUGAGUAAUACUGUGAUAAGUAAGUUAGCACAAAUUGACUGAUUCAUCUUUGCCAAAAAUAGUUUUUUCCUUUGUGCACAAACAACUUUAUUAUUAUUACUGUUCUACAAUAUGUGAUUGCAUAUUAUUUCAAGUUUGACAUUUUUUUUGGGAUUCGGGGGUCUGAUUAUUUAAAGGGGGGCACAACAGUACAAAAUACAGAAAAAACAGAAGAGAACUGAUGCAGUACCACAGCAACAUACAGUAAAUGGGCUAAUCUGACACAUUUGGUGUGAUGGAAAAGAUCAAAGCUCUUCAGGAUGCAAAAUUCAAAACAUGUCAAAAAUUUGAAUUUGUGGUCUGAUGAUUAAUAGACAAGAAUAAAAAAGGAAUGGCAAAAAAUAAAACGGGUCAUGCUGAACCCUAAAAUGAAAAAAGAAACCAUUGUAUUUUCCAAAUAUAUACAGGUUGGUCUUAUUGAAAAUGAUUCGUAUAGAUACGGACAGAUGUAUGAAUUAGAAAUUCUAGAAUAGCUGUUUAAAUUUUAAAGUAUUUCUUGGUUUGUUAAAAAGACAUUUUAAACACAUUGAGACAAAUUUAAAAUGCCAACUUCUUUUUCACAGGGUUUUAGUUACCAGUGAGAUAAAUAGGUUCAAGUUUGUUUUAAACCAAAUCCAACCCUGUGACCUAAGCAUGUCUCUGACAAAACAAAACAAAAAGAAAACUCCCAAUGAUCUCACACUGACUGCAGCCUGUUGCUUUGGCAACAAGAUCAUCAGGGGAAUACAUGGAAAAUGUCAUAAACAAUUAAACAUCAAUGGGCUCCCUGUCUAUUCAAACCUAAGAGCUUGUGAUUUAGACAUCCGACACAAGUUUGUACUAAAAUUACACCUGGGUUUCGAAAGAAGAUGAUUCCACUAUUUUUAGUGUUUAAACAUAAAGUCAGGGGAGCAGCAAAGGUUUAUCACUCAUCUCCUCUUUAUGUAAAUAAUAAUGGAUAUUCAGAACAAAACUACUUCUUCAGUUUCCUAUUUUGUUACAUAAUGACUUACUUAAAUUACCACAUUUAUCAGUAAAUCUGAACUUUUUCCUCUUUGACACAUUGGUUAUUUAUGUUCAAAUAAUCUUAAAGCACAUAAUGAAAGUAUAGUGAUAUGUUGUACUUUAAUAUUUUAGGUUUUGCAUAAAAUCCAGUUAUUAAGGAGUUAGAAUCAGAUUUUAUUUUUAAGUUGAUGCUGUUUCUGUUUUGAGUUGGGUUUAAUUUGAUACUUUUUCCAAUAUCCAGAGGAUUGUACUAUAUAUGUGUGUUUUCAGUGAGACAAAUGUGUGACCUUGAUUGGA